UAAAGAGGGGGCGAGCGUUAAUCGGAAUUACUGGGCGUAAAGGGUGAGUAGGCGGUAUGUUAAGUUAGUUGUGAAAUCCCUGGGCUUAACCUAGGAACAGCAAUUAAUACUGGCAUGCUAGAGUACAUGAGAGGGGAGUGGAAUUUCCGGUGUAGCGGUGAAAUGCGUAGAUAUCGGAAGGAACACCGGUGGCGAAGGCGACUCUCUGGCAUGUAACUGACGCUGAGGCACGAAAGCGUGGGGAGCAAACAGG
Molecule: ribosomal RNA, 253 nt
Filed under: uncultured bacterium
Lineage: Bacteria
Description: partial 16S ribosomal RNA
Rfam family: Bacterial small subunit ribosomal RNA
Source: RNAcentral